UGGGGAAUUUUGGACAAUGGGGGCAACCCUGAUCCAGCAAUGCCGCGUGAGUGAAGAAGGCCUUCGGGUUGUAAAGCUCUUUUGUCAGGGAAGAAACGGUGCGGGCUAAUAUCCUGCACUAAUGACGGUACCUGAAGAAUAAGCACCGGCUAACUACGUGCCAGCAGCCGCGGUAAUACGUAGGGUGCAAGCGUUAAUCGGAAUUACUGGGCGUAAAGCGUGCGCAGGCGGUUUUGUAAGUCUGUCGUGAAAUCCCCGGGCUCAACCUGGGAAUUGCGAUGGAGACUGCAAGGCUAGAAUCUGGCAGAGGGGGGUAGAAUUCCACGUGUAGCAGUGAAAUGCGUAGAGAUGUGGAGGAACACCGAUGGCGAAGGCAGCCCCCUGGGUCAAGAUUGACGCUCAUGCACGAAAGCGUGGGGAGCAAACAGGAUUAGAUACCCCCGUAGUCCCUGAGCGGGCUGGCAAGGCGCAU
RNAcentral lists this ribosomal RNA (472 nucleotides) under uncultured bacterium. Its description in RNAcentral is "bacterial SSU rRNA". It matches the Rfam family "Bacterial small subunit ribosomal RNA", at positions 355 to 825 of the family's 1533-position model. The record is from RNAcentral.